GCUUUCCUGUGGCUCAGUUGGCAUAACAUAGCUCUAACAAUGCAAAGGUUGUGGGUUCAACUCCCAGGGAAAGCA
Non-coding RNA from Danionella cerebrum, 75 nucleotides. The record is from the annotation of a GenBank genome assembly. NCBI's taxonomy places the organism in Eukaryota, Metazoa, Chordata, Actinopteri, Cypriniformes, Danionidae.